This 1343-nucleotide ribosomal RNA is filed under the name uncultured bacterium. RNAcentral describes it as "16S ribosomal RNA". It matches the Rfam family "Bacterial small subunit ribosomal RNA", at positions 28 to 1378 of the family's 1533-position model. The record is from RNAcentral.
GACGAACGUUGGCGGCGUGCUUAACACAUGCAAGUCGAACGGAAAGGCCCUGCUUUUGUGGGGUGCUCGAGUGGCGAACGGGUGAGUAACACGUGAGUAACCUGCCCUUGACUUUGGGAUAACUUCAGGAAACUGGGGCUAAUACCGGAUAGGAGCUCCUGCUGCAUGGUGGGGGUUGGAAAGUUUCGGCGGUUGGGGAUGGACUCGCGGCUUAUCAGCUUGUUGGUGGGGUAGUGGCUUACCAAGGCUUUGACGGGUAGCCGGCCUGAGAGGGUGACCGGCCACAUUGGGACUGAGAUACGGCCCAGACUCCUACGGGAGGCAGCAGUGGGGAAUAUUGCACAAUGGGCGGAAGCCUGAUGCAGCAACGCCGCGUGCGGGAUGACGGCCUUCGGGUUGUAAACCGCUUUCGCCUGUGACGAAGCGUGAGUGACGGUAAUGGGUAAAGAAGCACCGGCUAACUACGUGCCAGCAGCCGCGGUGAUACGUAGGGUGCGAGCGUUGUCCGGAUUUAUUGGGCGUAAAGGGCUCGUAGGUGGUUGAUCGCGUCGGAAGUGUAAUCUUGGGGCUUAACCCUGAGCGUGCUUUCGAUACGGGUUGACUUGAGGAAGGUAGGGGAGAAUGGAAUUCCUGGUGGAGCGGUGGAAUGCGCAGAUAUCAGGAGGAACACCAGUGGCGAAGGCGGUUCUCUGGGCCUUUCCUGACGCUGAGGAGCGAAAGCGUGGGGAGCGAACAGGCUUAGAUACCCUGGUAGUCCACGCUGUAAACGGUGGGUACUAGGUGUGGGGUCCAUUCCACGGGUUCCGUGCCGUAGCUAACGCUUUAAGUACCCCGCCUGGGGAGUACGGCCGCAAGGCUAAAACUCAAAGGAAUUGACGGGGCCCCGCACAAGCGGCGGAGCAUGCGGAUUAAUUCGAUGCAACGCGUAGAACCUUACCUGGGUUUGACAUGGAUCGGGAGUGCUCAGAGAUGGGUGUGCCUCUUUUGGGGUCGGUUCACAGGUGGUGCAUGGCUGUCGUCAGCUCGUGUCGUGAGAUGUUGGGUUAAGUCCCGCAACGAGCGCAACCCUUGUUCACUGUUGCCAGCACGUUAUGGUGGGGACUCAGUGGAGACCGCCGGGGUCAACUCGGAGGAAGGUGGGGAUGACGUCAAGUCAUCAUGCCCCUUAUGUCCAGGGCUUCACGCAUGCUACAAUGGCUGGUACAGAGAGUGGCGAGCCUGUGAGGGUGAGCGAAUCUCGGAAAGCCGGUCUCAGUUCGGAUUGGGGUCUGCAACUCGACCUCAUGAAGUCGGAGUCGCUAGUAAUCGCAGGUCAGCAACGCUGCGGUGAGUACGUUCCCGGG